This 253-nucleotide ribosomal RNA is filed under the name uncultured bacterium. Its description in RNAcentral is "partial 16S ribosomal RNA". It matches the Rfam family "Bacterial small subunit ribosomal RNA", at positions 524 to 776 of the family's 1533-position model. The record is from RNAcentral.
UACGUAGGGUGCAAGCGUUAAUCGGAAUUACUGGGCGUAAAGCGUGCGCAGGCGGUUGUGCAAGACAGGUGUGAAAUCCCCGGGCUCAACCUGGGAACUGCAUUUGUGACUGCAAGGCUAGAGUACGGCAGAGGGGGAUGGAAUUCCGCGUGUAGCAGUGAAAUGCGUAGAUAUGCGGAGGAACACCGAUGGCGAAGGCAAUCCCCUGGGCCUGCACUGACGCUCAUGCACGAAAGCGUGGGGAGCAAACAGG